This 764-nucleotide ribosomal RNA is filed under the name uncultured bacterium. RNAcentral's name for it is "bacterial SSU rRNA". It matches the Rfam family "Bacterial small subunit ribosomal RNA", at positions 59 to 825 of the family's 1533-position model. The record is from RNAcentral.
CAGUCGAACGGGUGUACGGGGAGGAAGGCUUCGGCCGGAAAACCUGCGCAUGAGUGGCGGACGGGUGAGUAACGCGUGGGCAACCUGGCCUGUACAGGGGGAUAACACUUAGAAAUAGGUGCUAAUACCGCAUAACGGGGGAAGCCGCAUGGCUUUUCCCUGAAAACUCCGGUGGUACAGGAUGGGCCCGCGUCCGAUUAGCCAGUUGGCGGGGUAACGGCCCACCAAAGCGACGAUCGGUAGCCGGCCUGAGAGGGCGGACGGCCACAUUGGGACUGAGACACGGCCCAAACUCCUACGGGAGGCAGCAGUGGGGAAUAUUGCACAAUGGGGGAAACCCUGAUGCAGCGACGCCGCGUGAGUGAAGAAGUAUCUCGGUAUGUAAAGCUCUAUCAGCAGGGAAGAAAAUGACGGUACCUGACUAAGAAGCCCCGGCUAACUACGUGCCAGCAGCCGCGGUAAUACGUAGGGGGCAAGCGUUAUCCGGAUUUACUGGGUGUAAAGGGAGCGUAGACGGCGCUGCAAGUCCGGAGUGAAAGCCCAUGGCUUAACCAUGGUACUGCUCUGGAAACUGUGGAGCUUGAGUGCGGGAGGGGCAGGCGGAAUUCCUAGUGUAGCGGUGAAAUGCGUAGAUAUUAGGAGGAACACCGGCGGCGAAGGCGGCCUGCUGGACCGUAACUGACGUUGAGGCUCGAAAGCGUGGGGAGCAAACAGGAUUAGAUACCCUGGUAGUCCACGCCGUAAACGAUGAUUACCAGGUGUCG